UCCGAUGUAGUGUAACGGCUACCACAUCACGUUCUCACCGUGGAGACCGGGGUUCGACUCCCCGCUUCGGAG
This 72-nucleotide transfer RNA is filed under the name Saccharomyces cerevisiae (brewer's yeast). It matches the Rfam family "tRNA". From Rfam's summary of the family: Transfer RNA (tRNA) molecules are approximately 80 nucleotides in length. Their secondary structure includes four short double-helical elements and three loops (D, anti-codon, and T loops). Further hydrogen bonds mediate the characteristic L-shaped molecular structure. tRNAs have two regions of fundamental functional importance: the anti-codon, which is responsible for specific mRNA codon recognition, and the 3' end, to which the tRNAs corresponding amino acid is attached (by aminoacyl-tRNA synthetases). tRNAs cope with the degeneracy of the genetic code in two manners: having more than one tRNA (with a specific anti-codon) for a particular amino acid; and 'wobble' base-pairing, i.e. permitting non-standard base-pairing at the 3rd anti-codon position. Lineage: Eukaryota; Fungi; Ascomycota; Saccharomycetes; Saccharomycetales; Saccharomycetaceae. RNAcentral also lists the same sequence under 2 other names. The record is from RNAcentral.